GCUGGCGGCACUGCUUUACACAUGCAAGUCGAACGGUAACGCGGGCUUCGGCCUGGCGACGAGUGGCGAACGGGUGAGUAGAACAUCGGAACGUAUCUUUUAGUGGGGGAUAGCCCGGCGAAAGCCGGAUUAAUACCGCAUGAGCUCUUAGGAGGAAAGCGGGGGACUUUCGGGCCUCGCGCUGGCAGAGCGGCCGAUGCCGGAUUAGCUUGUUGGUGGGGUAAGAGCCUACCAAGGCGAUGAUCCGUA
RNAcentral lists this ribosomal RNA (249 nucleotides) under uncultured beta proteobacterium. RNAcentral describes it as "partial 16S ribosomal RNA". It matches the Rfam family "Bacterial small subunit ribosomal RNA", at positions 35 to 285 of the family's 1533-position model. The record is from RNAcentral. Lineage: Bacteria; Pseudomonadati; Pseudomonadota; Betaproteobacteria.